This 889-nucleotide ribosomal RNA is filed under the name uncultured Staphylococcus sp. RNAcentral describes it as "bacterial SSU rRNA". It matches the Rfam family "Bacterial small subunit ribosomal RNA", at positions 26 to 896 of the family's 1533-position model. The record is from RNAcentral. Lineage: Bacteria; Bacillati; Bacillota; Bacilli; Caryophanales; Staphylococcaceae.
AAGAUGAACGCUGGCGGCGUGCCUAAUACAUGCAAGUCGAGCGAACGGAUGAGAAGCUUGCUUCUCUGAUGUUAGCGGCGGACGGGUGAGUAACACGUGGAUAACCUACCUAUAAGACUGGGAUAACUUCGGGAAACCGGAGCUAAUACCGGAUAAUAUUUUGAACCGCAUGGUUCAAAAGUGAAAGACGGUCUUGCUGUCACUUAUAGAUGGAUCCGCGCUGCAUUAGCUAGUUGGUAAGGUAACGGCUUACCAAGGCAACGAUGCAUAGCCGACCUGAGAGGGUGAUCGGCCACACUGGAACUGAGACACGGUCCAGACUCCUACGGGAGGCAGCAGUAGGGAAUCUUCCGCAAUGGGCGAAAGCCUGACGGAGCAACGCCGCGUGAGUGAUGAAGGUCUUCGGAUCGUGAAACUCUGUUAUUAGGGAAGAACAUAUGUGUAAGUAACUGUGCACAUCUUGACGGUACCUAAUCAGAAAGCCACGGCUAACUACGUGCCAGCAGCCGCGGUAAUACGUAGGUGGCAAGCGUUAUCCGGAAUUAUUGGGCGUAAAGCGCGCGUAGGCGGUUUUUUAAGUCUGAUGUGAAAGCCCACGGCUCAACCGUGGAGGGUCAUUGGAAACUGGAAAACUUGAGUGCAGAAGAGGAAAGUGGAAUUCCAUGUGUAGCGGUGAAAUGCGCAGAGAUAUGGAGGAACACCAGUGGCGAAGGCGACUUUCUGGUCUGUAACUGACGCUGAUGUGCGAAAGCGUGGGGAUCAAACAGGAUUAGAUACCCUGGUAGUCCACGCCGUAAACGAUGAGUGCUAAGUGUUAGGGGGUUUCCGCCCCUUAGUGCUGCAGCUAACGCAUUAAGCACUCCGCCUGGGGAGUACGACCGCCAGGUUG